AUGAACGCUAGCGACAGGCCUAACACAUGCAAGUCGAGGGGCGAACGGGGCGUAGCAAUACGCUGCCGGCGACCGGCGGAUGGGUGAGUAACGCGUAUGCAACCUGCCUUCAGCAGGGGGAUAGCCCGUUGAAAGACGGAUUAAUACCCCAUAACACAGGGGCUCCGCAUGGAGUAUUAUUGUUAAAGGGAUGCUUCCUUCGGGGGUAUUCCGGCUGAAGAUGGGCAUGCGUUCCAUUAGGUAGUUGGUUGAGGUAACGGCUCACCAAGCCUGCGAUGGAUAGGGGAACUGAGAGGUUGGUCCCCCACACUGGUACUGAGACACGGACCAGACUCCUACGGGAGGCAGCAGUGAGGAAUCUUGGUCAAUGGACGGAAGUCUGAACCAGCCAUGUCGCGUGAAGGAGGACGGCCCUAAGGGUUGUAAACUUCUUUUGCAGCGGAAUAAAGUAUUCCACGUGAUGGGAUAUUGCAAGUACGCUGCGAAUAAGGAUCGGCUAACUCCGUG
This 507-nucleotide ribosomal RNA is filed under the name uncultured bacterium. RNAcentral's name for it is "bacterial SSU rRNA". It matches the Rfam family "Bacterial small subunit ribosomal RNA", at positions 29 to 507 of the family's 1533-position model. The record is from RNAcentral.